GUGAGGCCUGAAGGCAGGUACCCUUUGAAGGAGGUCUGGGACCUUAGGGAAGGGGAGAGAAGGUUGAUUCUUCUUCAGUGAUGUGUUUGAGGAAGUAAGAGCUAUAGCUGGAGCAGAGGAAGCUGCAGACAAAGUGCCCAGCCCUGUGAGAAUUGGGAGGAUCUUUGUGUAGGAAACUGUGAGACACUGAAAGUUUGUCCCUGAGCCUCUGUGGGGAGUGGGAUACCAUCAGAACAACUUGUGAAAAACAAAAGUUGUUUCACAUGGUCAUUCUAGACAGUAGUUCGUAUUUCUGUCUGCUCCAGUCCCAUUACCUCUUGUAUGAUUCCAAAACUUUGGCCUAUGCAGGAAGAGUCUGGUACUACAGCUGAUCCAAUCUUACCAGCGGAUGCCAGGCAACGCCAUGGUAAGGGGCUUCCGGGUAUCCUAUAAACGACACGUGCUCACCAUGGAUGACUUGGGUACCUUAUAUGGACAGAACUGGCUCAAUGACCAGGUAAGAGGAGGAAGCUAAAAAGGCUUGAAAAGGCUUUUGGAGAAUGGAGCCUUUUGCAUAGGGGAACCCUUUACCCAUGCCACAUUCUCCAGGGCACAUUGCCUUUUUCCCCAGGUGAUGAACAUGUAUGGAGACUUGGUUAUGGACACAGUCCCUGAAAAGGUGCAUUUCUUCAACAGUUUCUUCUAUGAUAAACUCCGUACCAAGGGUUAUGAUGGGGUAAAGAGGUGGACCAAAAAUGUGAGUUAUACAUUUACAACUAUUUGUAUAGCAUCUUGUUUCUAAAGAAAAUUUAAGAGUUUUUCUUUCUAUGAGUCCUUUCCCCAACUGGUAAUUAUUCUACAACAUUAAAUGUCUUAUCUACAUCUGUAGUAAGGCCUUCCACAUAGUAGUCAUCCUGUGCAGUCUGGGAAACAGGGUUUGAAGCAAAAGGAAUAGCAAAUACUUCAGAGCCAGAGAGAAAAUGAAUAUUUUGACACAGUGACUAAGGUGUGAGGCAUGUAAGGUAGAGUGACAAGGAUGGAGGUUGUUCUAUGUUUCUUGUGUGGAUGUAAGUGCAUGCCAUCCCCCCAAGAAAGUAGCUACAACUGUAGCCAUAUGUCACUCACCCUUGGACCAUAACCCCAGCCCGAGCCUCAGGAUUUAGUUUUUUGUGCUCAGAAUUAUUCAGAGACCUGUUGAGUCUUGUUUCUUCCAGUAGAAGCAAAAGUGAUGUACAGUCUAAACCUCCUUAGCCUUCGGUGUAUCUGAGAUAAAUGUAAAGGUGCUUGUGCCAAGCCUGAGUUUGAUCCCUGGGACUCACAUGGUGGAAGGAGAGAAGCAGCUUGUCCUCUGACUUCCACACAUGUAACUCUGGCAUGUAUACCCCCUUCCUCUCAAUAAUAAAAAUGUAAU
RNAcentral lists this long non-coding RNA (1390 nucleotides) under Rattus norvegicus (Norway rat). Its description in RNAcentral is "long non-coding RNA NONRATT005581". Lineage: Eukaryota; Metazoa; Chordata; Mammalia; Rodentia; Muridae. The record is from RNAcentral.